RNAcentral lists this long non-coding RNA (3549 nucleotides) under Haliotis rubra (blacklip abalone). RNAcentral's name for it is "uncharacterized LOC124258609". The record is from RNAcentral. Lineage: Eukaryota; Metazoa; Mollusca; Gastropoda; Lepetellida; Haliotidae.
UUUAGUUUCUUAAUUGUGAACCUUCAUGACUGGAAACCAUCUUAGUUUCUUAAUUGUGAACCUUCAUGACUGGAAACCAUCUUAGUUUCUUAAUUGUGAACCUUCAUGACUGGAAACCAUCUUAGUUUCUUAAUUGUGAACCUUCAUGACUGGGAACCAUCUUAGUUUCUUAAUUGUGAACCUUCAUGACUGGGAACCAUUUUAGUUUCUUAAUUGUGAACCGUCAUGACUGGGAAUUCUCAUUACUUUCAGUUUCUGAACUGGGAAGUGUGUUUCGUAUGAAAGUCAUGACUGCAAGCCAUUUGUUGUCUUAGUUUCUUGAUGGGAACAAUCUUUAGUCUUAUCUUCUUGAAGGAAUUAGUUUUGACAAGUGCAAUAUGCAUUCAUUUAAUACAUUAAGAAAUUGCACCUGCAGCAAGAGGAGCCUGAAUUGAUUCUAGUGAGAAGCAGACAGUUCAUGUUCUCAUGAAUUAUGUUUCCCUGGGCCAUCCCUUAAAUAUAAUUUACUGAGUGCUGAUAUUAACAUAAUGUGGUAACUUCUGUUUAUAAUGAUAUCAAUUACUUUAGAAAUGGAUCUAUGUAAGUCGUGAAGCCUGACACAUGUUACUGUCAUGCCUUCCUGAUGCUGAUGCAAGUCCCACUGGCUCACUCAUAGUAGUCAAGCAGUCAGAUUCAGAUGCUCACUUAAUUUGAUGCUACUUGUCUGGGAAGAAAAAAGUACCACAAAAGUACUCGAUAUUCACACAUCAUCUACAUGAUCACUAUGUACCGUAUUCUCCAUAAUUAGCAUCCAGGUGCAUAAUUGAUGAAGGGACUGUUUAUAGACACCAGUCCUGGGUUUGUUGGUAUUUCCAGUGUUAACAAGUAGGGGGUUGUGUGUUUACAGUGGGAAGAAAAACGGAGCUCAAUGCAGCACGUGUAAUACACACCCUCUUCAACACAAUUGUGUUUUCUGGGAAAAGAGGGUCUUAUACACAAAAAAUUAUGGACUGACAUAUGAACAUUUGGGCUUCAAAAGAUUACCAGCGUGUAGACAGUGUAUGAAAUAAGCCAUAAACCCAGCCAGUUAUUUGGGCUGGUAACUUCAAAAACUUACCAGCCCAGAAGAGAUUCAACCAGUCCUUCUUAUAUAAUAGACAGUACCAUUUGACACGUUAUCUGAAUAUUUUUUUUUCACCCGUUCAGCGGGCUGGCUAGCUGUAAAAUUAGACCGUCCGACAGAAAUCUAGCCCGUGUCAGGCGGUCGGACUGGCCUUAUUUCAUACACUGGUGUAGAUCAGGAAUUUGGUGGCGGUGUUAAUUGAAUGGGGGCGCUGUAUACAGUGAAUAUGGUAGGUUCUUCCAGAUGAGCUGGCCAAGCUGGAGGUAUUCAUCUGUUACUGUUCAUCAUGUUGACCCUAGAUAUAGGAUAUGUAACUUAUGUAAGAUUUGUAGAUUAUUGUAUAUUUCCUAGUGUAAUGAUGUAGUGUAGAUAGUCGACACCUACCCGUCAGUGUAGACUUAAUCUUUGUAUAUAGUAGAGCCAGAAUCUCGGGAGGCGUUGCUCUUGUUAGGGGAAUCGCUGUUAGUGUUGACACAAAUAUUCUAUCCCAGUAAUAAUACAUUAUUUAAUUUAUCCAUAUAUCUCUUCAAACUUCUCCAAGAAGACCUUGUUGGUGCAUAUUGACUUGUUAAUCCAUGUAACUCGGUAGCCUACUGUACUGUUAUAGAUUUCAAAUAUUUCUGGAUAUUUAUCCAAUAUUGUUACAGUUUUAUCAUGUAGCCAUGUAAUCUUAUUGACAACUGCCACGAUAGUUUGAGGUCAUGUUAGAUAAGGCGAAAGUUUACCAGCUAUUAAGUUCUGUCUUUGGUUCCGACUAUUACCAGUGUGAGUCUUCAGCAGUACAUCUAGCAUCCAUGAGUUCUGUUAUGCAUGAGAUACUGUUAUUGUGACUCGUCCCAUCUGUCUCAUUGUUUUCGUCAGAUAAUUGUAGAUUUUUUAUACAAGUUUAUUAUGUUUUCCAGAAAUCCAGUUUUUAUUUCAUGAGUAUUAUUCUUUCAAUGGUUUGUGAUUAUUUUUUUAUUUAUACUUUACAGAAGUGUUUAUGUAUUGACAUGCUUAUGUUUGAAAGUUGGACUCUAUGGCUGAAUAUAUUUGUAUAUUAUAUAUACUUUUUCUAACAUAUUGCAUUAUUCAGAUCUGUUUACUAUAUCUCAAUAUAUAUGUAUACAUAUGAAUCCGAGGAAAUCAGACACCAUUUAGCAUUGCCUUAUGCAGUGAUACAAAGUCCAGAAAAUAAUUCCUUGUAAAUUUGAAAGAGAAACAUUUAUUUCCAUGACAUUAAGGACUUUACAUUUCCUUUCUGUUGAACUUUGUAUCAAUAUUGACUUUAAUUUAUUCUUUGUGUUUAUUUUUGUAAUGUAUGAAAGAAAUUGGUUGCUCAAAUUAAGGAUGUUCAAUCAAGUAGGAACCUGAUGUGUAACUGAAUCAGUCUCAGCACUAUUUGCUGAUCUGAAUUCUCUUUCGUGUUCAGAGAUUCUGUAUCUCAUCAAACACUGAAGAAAUAUUAAACUGCAAGAUGUUUUUCAACAAUACAUGAUCAUGUUGGUCAAUAUCUGUCAAUCUGAGAGAACAUUUGGAGGAAAAAAUCAUCAGACACAUACCACGUUAUCAAAUCAAUAAUACUUGAGAUUCUGUAUAGUGAAAGUUUGGUACCUCUGACACUGUUUGAAGUGAUUCUUCUUUCUAAACUUAUAGUGGUCUUCAGACUAUAUAGGACUAGUAAUGUAGGUGAUGUGUCCUGCACAGUUUAGUGUAACUCAAUACUUCACGCUACGGUAUCUUGUCUUUCUCUGUGUCAUCCUCUAUGUUAUGUGUAGAUAUUAGGUGACCAGGCUCUUUGCCUGAACUCUCCAGGACUCCACACAGAUUGGGGGAAGAGUUUUGGCUCUCGUACUAGGUUACCAGGGCUCUUUGUCUGGACGCUCCAGGACUCCACACAGAUGGGGGAAGAGUUUUGGGUCUGGUACUAGGUCGCCAGGCUCUUUGCCUGAACUCUCCAGGACUCCACACAGAUGGGGGAAGAGUUUUGGUUCUGGUACUAGGUCGCCGAGCUCUUCGUCUGGACUCUCCAGGUUCCACACAGAUGGAAGGGGAGCCUUGGAUCAGGUAUUUGAUAACCAGGGCCUAGAUUUUCGAAGCUCUCUUAGCGCUAAGAUAGUCGUAAAUUAAUUCUAAUGUAUGGCACUUACGACUAUCUUAGCGCUAAGAGAGCUUCGAAAAUCUAGGCCCUGGGCUCUUUGUCUGGACACUCCAGGGGCUCCACUGAUGCAGGAGUCUUCGUUCUGGUACUAGGCAGCGAUGUGAUUUAGACAGUAACCCCGCUCAAACGAUGCCACCCCCAGUAGCUACACAUUCAGAACCCUACACUUUCCCCUCUCAAGGCAUGCUUAUUGUUGAGUUCAUUUACUUCCUGUUCACUAUUUAUCAAUAUGCAAACUAACUAUACCUAAUGUGCAAUAACUUGUUUUCAACUUGCAGAUUAAAUAAAUAGCAUUCCACAGUCGAAA